Long non-coding RNA from Sebastes umbrosus (honeycomb rockfish), 151 nucleotides. RefSeq lists it as uncharacterized. The record is from RefSeq and is a predicted model, not a curated record. NCBI's taxonomy places the organism in Eukaryota, Metazoa, Chordata, Actinopteri, Perciformes, Sebastidae. The transcript is spliced from 3 exons.
AGGUCCAGGUGUUGUGCUGGUCUGACUGGCUGUCUGAGGUCCAGGUCUUGUUCUGGUCUGACUGGCUGUCUGAGGUCCAGGUCUUGUUCUGGUCUGACUGGCUGUCUGCAGUCGAGGUAUUUUUCUGGAUCUGGACAUCGGCUCCUCCACA